RNAcentral lists this small nuclear RNA (104 nucleotides) under Nestor notabilis (Kea). Lineage: Eukaryota; Metazoa; Chordata; Aves; Psittaciformes; Psittacidae. The record is from RNAcentral.
GUGCUCGCUUCGGCAGCUCAUAUACUAAAAUUGGAAUGAUACAGAGAAGAUUAGUAUGUCCUCUGUGCAAGGACACGCAAAUUCUUGAAGCGUUCCAUAUCUAA